CGGCACGCCUAACACAUGCAAGUCGAACGAAGUAGCAAUACUUAGUGGCAGACGGGUGAGUAACAUGUGGGUAUCUACCCUUCUCUACGGAAUAGCCAUUGGAAACGAUGAGUAAUACCGUAUACGCCCUUUGGGGGAAAGAUUUAUCGGAGAAAGAUCGGCCCGCGUUAGAUUAGAUAGUUGGUGGGGUAAUGGCCUACCAAGUCUACGAUCUAUAGCUGGUUUGAGAGGAUGAUCAGCAACACUGGGACUGAGACACGGCCCAGACUCC
Molecule: ribosomal RNA, 271 nt
Filed under: unidentified marine bacterioplankton
Lineage: Bacteria
Description: partial 16S ribosomal RNA
Rfam family: Bacterial small subunit ribosomal RNA
Source: RNAcentral